AGUGAACGCUGGCGGUAGGCCUAACACAUGCAAGUCGAACGGCAGCACAGUAAGAGCUUGCUCUUACGGGUGGCGAGUGGCGGACGGGUGACGAAUACAUCGGAAUCUACUUUUUCGUGGGGGAUAACGUAGGGAAACUUACGCUAAUACCGCAUACGACCUACGGGUGAAAGCAGGGGAUAUUCGGACCUUGCGCGAUUGAAUGAGCCGAUGUCGGAUUAGCUAGUUGGCGGGGUAAAGGCCCACCAAGGCGACGAUCCGUAGCUGGUCUGAGAGGAUGGUAGGCCACACUGGAACUGAGACACGGUCCAGACUCCUACGGGAGGCAGCAGUGGGGAAUAUUGGACAAUGGGCGCAAGCCUGACCCAGCCAUACCGCGUGUGUGAAGAAGGCCUUCGGGUUGUAAAGCCCUUUUGUUGGGAAAGAAAAGCAGCAGGUUAAUACCCCGCUGUUCUGACGGUACCCAAAGAAUAAGCACCGGCUAACUUCGUG
This 492-nucleotide ribosomal RNA is filed under the name uncultured bacterium. Its description in RNAcentral is "partial 16S ribosomal RNA". It matches the Rfam family "Bacterial small subunit ribosomal RNA", at positions 29 to 507 of the family's 1533-position model. The record is from RNAcentral.